Etheostoma spectabile (orangethroat darter) is the source of this 221-nucleotide long non-coding RNA. RefSeq lists it as uncharacterized. The record is from RefSeq and is a predicted model, not a curated record. NCBI's taxonomy places the organism in Eukaryota, Metazoa, Chordata, Actinopteri, Perciformes, Percidae. The transcript has 3 exons.
UCUACUCACCGAUGGGCCUGCAUGCCACGUCUCUGGGGGCCACUGCUGCUCCAAGAUCCUGUACAACUUAGCCUGGAACCACAAGGGACCAGUUACCAUGUGGGCCACGGGGAGGCGUGUACGAGGUCUUGGCAGUGGAGAGGCUAUGUACCGGUGGAGGAGGCUUACACACUCGGCUCCUCUUUCUGCCCCUGAAAACAAAGGGCUGUCCGGUGGCAGUA